GAUGAACGCUGGCGGCGUGCCUAACACAUGCAAGUCGAGCGAUUUACUUCGGUAAAGAGCGGCGGACGGGUGAGUAACGCGUGGGUAACCUGCCCUGUACACACGGAUAACAUACCGAAAGGUAUGCUAAUACGAGAUAAUAUGCUUUUAUCGCAUGGUAGAAGUAUCAAAGCUUUUGCGGUACAGGAUGGACCCGCGUCUGAUUAGCUAGUUGGUGAGGUAACGGCUCACCAAGGCGACGAUCAGUAGCCGACCUGAAAGGGUGAUCGGCCACAUUGGAACUGAGACACGGUCCAAACUCCUACGGGAGGCAGCAGUGGGGAAUAUUGCACAAUGGGCGAAAGCCUGAUGCAGCAACGCCGCGUGAGCGAUGAAGGCCUUCGGGUCGUAAAGCUCUGUCCUCAAGGAAGAUAAUGACGGUACUUGAGGAGGAAGCCCCGGCUAACUACGUG
This 452-nucleotide ribosomal RNA is filed under the name uncultured bacterium. RNAcentral describes it as "partial 16S ribosomal RNA". It matches the Rfam family "Bacterial small subunit ribosomal RNA", at positions 28 to 507 of the family's 1533-position model. The record is from RNAcentral.